This 976-nucleotide long non-coding RNA is filed under the name Malus domestica (apple). Its description in RNAcentral is "long non-coding RNA (MDOM_LNC015231)". The record is from RNAcentral. Lineage: Eukaryota; Viridiplantae; Streptophyta; Magnoliopsida; Rosales; Rosaceae.
UACCCAGUGCACAAGGCUCCCGCUUUACGCAGGGUCUGGGAGAGGUGAAUGUCGGCUAGCCUUACCCCCAUUUUAUGGAGAGGCUGCUCCCAAGUCUCGAACCCGAGACCUACCACUCAUGGGCGAAGGCACUUGCCAUCGCACCAAGUGCGACCUCUGCUUACUACCAUUGUGUAAUCCCCAAAUAUUGCAUGAUACAAACCAAUGAUGUUAAGCGUCCUAGACUGACUAAAUCCAUAAAUGUGGCCUUGAGCUGUAGGAAAGUGUCCUUUCUUACACAGAUCAACUGUGGCAUACUUGUGCUGGGCAUCCUUAGGAAGAUAACACCCCAAAUAUUGUGCUGAUACUAAAUUUACAAGGACAUUCCCACAUUUCAAACUUGUAUAUUUGCAUGAAAACAUACCAUAUUAAAAUUCUAAAAUAUCUACUAGAAUUCGUGGAAGUAAAAAAGUUGUUAGUUUUUUGCACUUUCCUCUUUUUAUACUUGAAUCGUCAAGUCACAGUUUUUUUUUUUUUGGCACUCUCUAUUUGGGAUAAUGUGAUCUGCUGAAUAUGAUGACUGGCCUUUGAUACUUGAUCUUUUGAUUCUAUAGUUUAGCCUAAAAAAGUUGUUAAAACUAGCUGUUUACCUUUUAUGGUUUCAAAAAUUCUUUAUGUACUUCUCUUCAAUUUUAAGUAUUCUGAACGGACCUAAUUCUGUAUGACUCAUUUUUUUUAUUGAUUACCUUCAUAUCAUCAGGGAUCUGAGCUUCAAUGACCUUUGGGGGUCACUUCCAUUAUCUCUUAUCUCACUGCCACAUUUGGAUAUACUGUAAGCUCUUCUAUAUUCUUUGUCUCAUAUGAGUCUAGCUACAUAACAUUAGACAUGCCUCCAUAAAUUCAUCUCCAUGUGGUUCAUCGACGGAAAUCUCAGGUGCAACCCUCAUGUUGCAAAAGAUAUUCCCUCCAGUUUCAAUGGCUCAAAACUUACCACGGG